UCUCUCCCAACGGGACUUGAAACUUUCACCACUGAGACAACCCUAACAACAACUUCUCUUCACACUACUUUUAGUGAAUAUACAAAAAGUGAAACUCCUACGGCAACCUUUCUUCCAGUCCUGAGCACAGUCGAAAUUUCCACAAAGGAGGAAAGUCUGACAACUUCUUCCCAGUCUCCUUUGACAGCAUCGUCCAGUGAAAGUCCCACAAGGACGACUGUCACACAGCGAGUGGUCUCUGAGUUCACCACCAAUGAGACAACCAUGACAUUGGUUCCCCCCCAUCCAGCUGGUACUGAACUCACAAAUACGGAGACUACCAUGGCAAACACUCGUUCUCUUCCAAUGACAGAGACAUCCACACCCAAUGCGAUCAGGUCUUCCGUUCACACCCCAAUGGAAACAAACAACAGUGAGACAACCUCAGCCACAUCCUCUGCACCACCAACGCUGACCAUCUCCUCCACCCACAGCUCCUUCCUGACUUCUGUCUCUCACACAUCCCUGUCUGAAACCACCACCAAUGAAACGACUCUGGCAACAACAGUUUCUGCUCCAGCUUCAACAGAAUUUACCAACCGUGAAACAACAUUGUCAACAACACCCCCUGCGUCCGCUCCAUCUGAAACAUCCACUAGCGAGACAGCCUCAACAACAGGUAUUCGCUCUCCAGUUGUCACGACAUCUUCUACUGAGAGUACUAGAAUGACCAAUGUGUCACACACAGCAGUUCCUGAAUUCAUUACCAGUACCGCACCCCAGACGACAACUCCUCCACAUCUGACUUUUACAAAAUUCACAGGCAGUGAGACUAGCAUGGCAACUAGUUUUCCUGUACAAACUACAGCAAACUCUACCCAUGCUGAGACCACAAUAUCAACAACUCUCUCUGUACCUGUUACACGUGAAAUCUCUACACUGGAGACAAACUCCACAACGGCCACCUCCCAACCAGCUCUGACCACCCCUUCCACUCAGAGCCCUUCAGUGACAUAUCUCUCCCACUCAACUGGUUCUGAGUCCACCCUAAAGGAGACAACUUUGGCAAGAAGCACCGUAAAGACAACUGAGCAGUAUUCAACCAUUUCUGAAGUCCCCACUAAUGAAACAACACUCAGAACAAAGCUUUCCCAGCCAACAGUUACUGAAUUCACAGGGUCUUCUACACUCUCUGUGACAGCUACAGCAGAAAGCUCCACCAGUGAGACCAACUUGACAACAGUCACAUCCCAGCCAACUGUAGUGACAUCUUCCAUGGAGCGUACCACAAUGACCUCCGUAUCCCAUACAACCAUACCUGAAUCCCCCACCAGUGAGAGAACCAAGGCAAC
RNAcentral lists this long non-coding RNA (1331 nucleotides) under Gopherus agassizii (Agassiz's desert tortoise). RNAcentral's name for it is "lncRNA (ENSGAGG00000002382.1)". The record is from RNAcentral. Lineage: Eukaryota; Metazoa; Chordata; Testudines; Testudinidae.